GAUUGCUUCAGCAGAACACAUACUAAAUUUAGAAUGACAGAGAGAAGGUGAGCAUGGCCCUCGAGCAAGGAUGACAUGCAAAUUCAUGAAGCAUUCUAUAUGUUU
Cynocephalus volans (Philippine flying lemur) is the source of this 105-nucleotide small nuclear RNA. The record is from RefSeq and is a predicted model, not a curated record. Lineage: Eukaryota; Metazoa; Chordata; Mammalia; Dermoptera; Cynocephalidae.